GUUGUUGCAGUUAAAAGCUCGUAGUUGAAUUUCGGGAUCAAAUUGUUGGUCGUGCUUCGGUACGCACUGGCAUUAUUGGUUCCUACCUUCUGAAGAACCGCGAUGUCAUUAAUUUGGUGUCGUGGGGAAUCAGGACUGUUACUUUGAAAAAAUUAGAGUGUUUAAAGCAGGCGUACGCUUGAAUACAUUAGCAUGGAAUAAUGAAAUAGGACGUUUGAUUCUAUUUUGUUGGUUUCUAGGAUCGACGUAAUGAUUAAUAGGGAUAGUUGGGGGCAUUAGUAUUCAAUUGUCAGAGGUGAAAUUCUUGGAUUUAUUGAAGACUAACUACUGCGAAAGCAUUUGCCAAGGAUGUUUUCAUUAAUCAAGAACGAAAGUUAGGGGAUCGAAGACGAUCAGAUACCGUCGUAGUCUUAACCAUAAACUAUGCCGACUAGGGAUCGGAUGAUGUUAAUUUUUUAAUGACUCAUUCGGCACCU
This 476-nucleotide ribosomal RNA is filed under the name uncultured Glomus. RNAcentral describes it as "SSU rRNA". It matches the Rfam family "Eukaryotic small subunit ribosomal RNA", at positions 609 to 1088 of the family's 1831-position model. Lineage: Eukaryota; Fungi; Glomeromycota; Glomeromycetes; Glomerales; Glomeraceae. The record is from RNAcentral.